Molecule: non-coding RNA, 130 nt
Organism: Mus caroli (Ryukyu mouse)
Lineage: Eukaryota; Metazoa; Chordata; Mammalia; Rodentia; Muridae
Source: RefSeq, a predicted model, not a curated record
AAGCUGGAAGAUACAGAGAAGGAUAGCAUGCCCCCUGGCAAGGAUGCUCAAAUCAUAAUUUAUUUAUCACAGUAAAGAUAUGUUAUAUGCAUUCAUAAAAACAUCAUAGUGAAUCUUAUCACUUCUUAUA